GCGUUGGUGGUAUAGUGGUGAGCAUAGCUGCCUU
This 34-nucleotide non-coding RNA is filed under the name Xenopus tropicalis (tropical clawed frog). The record is from RNAcentral. RNAcentral also lists the same sequence under 4 other names. Lineage: Eukaryota; Metazoa; Chordata; Amphibia; Anura; Pipidae.